RNAcentral lists this ribosomal RNA (1296 nucleotides) under uncultured bacterium. Its description in RNAcentral is "partial 16S ribosomal RNA". It matches the Rfam family "Bacterial small subunit ribosomal RNA", at positions 28 to 1301 of the family's 1533-position model. The record is from RNAcentral.
GAUGAACGCUGGCGGCGUGCCUAAUACAUGCAAGUCGAGCGAACAGACGAGGAGCUUGCUCCUUUGACGUUAGCGGCGGACGGGUGAGUAACACGUGGGUAACCUACCUAUAAGACUGGGAUAACUUCGGGAAACCGGAGCUAAUACCGGAUAAUAUUUCGAACCGCAUGGUUCGAUAGUGAAAGAUGGCUUUGCUAUCACUUAUAGAUGGACCUGCGCCGUAUUAGCUAGUUGGUAAGGUAACGGCUUACCAAGGCAACGAUACGUAGCCGACCUGAGAGGGUGAUCGGCCACACUGGAACUGAGACACGGUCCAGACUCCUACGGGAGGCAGCAGUAGGGAAUCUUCCGCAAUGGGCGAAAGCCUGACGGAGCAACGCCGCGUGAGUGAUGAAGGUCUUCGGAUCGUAAAACUCUGUUAUUAGGGAAGAACAAACGUGUAAGUAACUGUGCACGUCUUGACGGUACCUAAUCAGAAAGCCACGGCUAACUACGUGCCAGCAGCCGCGGUAAUACGUAGGUGGCAAGCGUUAUCCGGAAUUAUUGGGCGUAAAGCGCGCGUAGGCGGUUUUUUAAGUCUGAUGUGAAAGCCCACGGCUCAACCGUGGAGGGUCAUUGGAAACUGGAAAACUUGAGUGCAGAAGAGGAAAGUGGAAUUCCAUGUGUAGCGGUGAAAUGCGCAUAGAUAUGGAGGAACACCUGUGGCGAAGGCUACUUUCUGGUCUGUAACUGACGCUGAUGUGCGAAAGCGUGGGGAUCAAACAGGAUUACAUACCCUGGUAGUCCACGCCGUAAACGAUGAGUGCUAAGUGUUAGGGGGUUUCCGCCCCUUAGUGCUGCAGCUAACGCAUUACGCACUCCGCCUGGGGAGUACGACCGCAAGGUUGAAACUCUAAGGAAUUGACGGCCACCCGCACAAGCGGUGGAUCAUGUGGUUUAAUUCGAAUCAACGCGAAUAACCUUACCAAAUCUUGACAUCCUUUGACCCUUCUAGUACAUCGAACUUUCCCCUUCGGUGGACAAAGUGACUGGUGGUGCAUGGUCGUCCCUCGCUCGUGUCGUGAUAUGUUGGCUUAAAUCCCCCCACGAUCGUAUCCCUUAUGCUUUAUCCGCCUUCAUUAUGUUGGGCUACUCUAAUUUGACUGCCGGUGACAAACCGGAUGAAGGUGGUGAUGUAUUCUAUUCUUCUUGCCCUUAUGAGUUGUGCUAUAGACGUUUUACUUUGGAUAAUUCUAAGGGCAUUUUAAUCCCCUAGGUCUAUUUUAUCCCAUAAAGUUUGUUCUCAGGUCAGAUUGA